RNAcentral lists this long non-coding RNA (16442 nucleotides) under Malus domestica (apple). RNAcentral's name for it is "long non-coding RNA (MDOM_LNC003952)". The record is from RNAcentral. Lineage: Eukaryota; Viridiplantae; Streptophyta; Magnoliopsida; Rosales; Rosaceae.
GUGGACAUAGCCUAUAUCCCAUUCGUUGAGAAGUUCCAAGUCUUCUUAUCAGACGUGUUCAAGUAUGACAUCACAGCUGGGAGGCCUAAACUAGCAGCAUUCUUGGAGGUACAUUAACAAGUCAUAGAAUUGUAUAAUGAAUGUCAUGGAUUCCAUUGUCUGAGCUUUAUCCCAUGUACGGGAUGACUGUCUCUCAUCUGUUUUAAAAACAAACUUAAACGUUUCAUGAGGCUAAGCUAGCUGUUCAAGUGGUUUCCGAGCAAGAAUUCUAAGCAAAAGCACUCCGUUAACCACUAUCUUAAAAUCGGAUUCGAUAGAGGACGUGCUCCUCUGUAAUAUCUCAUAAAGAUGGUGAUUAUUAUGGUUGUUAUAUAUAUCCUUGUGCAGGAAAUCAACAAGAUUGAGGCAUACAAGGUAACCAAAGCUGAUCCAAAGGAGAUUGUUGCAGAAUACAAGAAGAAAUUCCUGGUACAUUCUCUUUUGCUGACCUACAAUUCGAAAUUUGUGCUCAGUCGUUCUUUCUAUAUUCAUUAUGCUGGUUUGAUAACCUCUGCGGAAUACUUUUCGUUACAGGAGCAACAGUAAACCUGUGAAAUAUUCUGCUGCGGACGCCGUAUAAAUAAGUGGCUGAGCACAUCAACAGAUUGUUCGUCAGCUUAAUUAUGUAUGCAGAUUAUGUAGUCUUGUUAUAGAUACGGACUUGUGUGUAUUUGGAUAUUUGUCUUUGUUACAUUAAUAAAAUUCGGGUCCUCGGAUUCUGUUCGGUGUUCGGGUCCAGCCUCUCGUAAUCUAUCAACAAUUUCUUCAGAAGAGGGAAGUUUCUUUGCAAAGCAAAGUACGAUAAUUACCAAACAAUAUAGUCCAAACCACAUUGGCCAAAUGUUUUUCUAUAUAUAUUUUAUAAGUCGAAGUUCUCUAUCUUUUCUUCCACUACUCUUCAAAUAAAACAAGGCAAAAUGCUUCUAAUAUCAUACCACGUCGUAAUGAAAAAUACAUAUACUAAUCUGAGAUAGAAGAGAUCAACAAAAUUCCAUGUUUCAACAAAAAAAAUGGGGGAAAAACUAACCAAAAGCCCCAAAAAAAGUUUCCUUUUAAUCAUCAGGACAAAAGUUUUCAAAAAUACCAAUGCUACCCUUCAAAUAUCUAUACAAAAUUGGCCAAGUAUUCAGUAAAGUUCACGUGGUAUUCACCAAAGAAUACAUCCAAAGAAGAAAAAGGAGGAUUGACACUUUCAGAAAACAUUUGAAUGCAAAAGUUAAGGUGGCCAUUGCAACAGCCAAGACAACAUGAAUUCACAUGACCUUCAUUAAAGCAAAGACAAGUCAGCCAGCUUUCAGAAAUAAUGCUGACAACUUUCGUGCUGUCACUAUUCAAAAAGUUGUAAAUAGAUGAAAAGUUAUUUUGUUGUUUAGGAAUUAGGUUUUGUAUAUAAGGGAGUUUUUCCUCCCAUGCAGAAUACACGAAAUAACACACAACACACCUCAACAUCUCAAUACCUCAACACCAUACUCACAUCAUACUUCAACCUACAAACACUCAAGCAUCCGAAACCUUCCUAGCAUCCUUUGUAAACAUUCUAUACAUCAAUAAAAGUUCAAGUGUACAAAUUCAAGCAAUCUUCAAUUCUUAAGUAAGCUCUCUUUUCUUUCUUUAGUGUGUUUGUUCAAUUAGACUUCUAGUCCAAAAUAGGGAAACACUAUUUUCAUUAUAUAUUAUUAACCUGUUAACCCGACGAUCAUACUUUGUUCGAGCAUUCUGUUAUAGUUGAAUGCUUGCCAUACAAAUAACUGGACAUUAAUCAGGGUACUUCUGAGUGAGUAUUUAUAGUAUAGAGAGUAUUAAUAUGAUAGAUUUUGAUUCUGAAGAUUCAAGUAGUUCAAAUGGUGAUUUAGAAGAGUAUAUAUGUUCAUUCAUAGAAGAACAACAUGAAGAAGAAUAUAAAUACAUUAAUUUAGGUUGGCCAGAAAAUGUCAUAAGUGUAGCAAGUUAGUUGCAAAUAAAUACUAUAAUACAUAUUCAAUAUUAUGUGAAAAGUGUUACAGUAAUAGGUUAUUAGAAGUUAAUUCAGUAGAAUCACAAGAAAGUACUGAAAUAUUAGGAAAUACUGUUCAUAGUAUAGAAAGGCCAAAAAAAUAGUUAUUUAAUUACCAUAAAUUGUGAAAUAGAAUUAGCAAAAUAACAUAAGAUACAAACAACAGCUAUGAUAGAUACAGAGAAUACAAAGAGUGUCAUAAGAGAAGAAUUAGCACCAGAAAAAUAUGGACAAAAAUUAGCAAAACCAAUAAGAAUAACAUAGUUUGAUGAGAGACCGGUUUACUUAACAGAUUGCAUUAAUAAUGAGUCUAUUAAAGUAGAAAAACAACAAUUUAAUUUACCAUUAACAUUUGUUUCAUCAGUAGGAUCAUACGCAUUCAUUUUAGGUUUAAAUUGCUUGAAAAGCUUGCAAGGUUUUUUUUAUUUAUGAACCUUAACAUAACCUUUUUCAAAAGAGGUAUUACAAUAGCUGAUCAAAGUAAUACUGUAGAAGCAUACAAAAGCAUAAGUGUAGAAGAAUUUAGUAGUCAAGAUAGUUAUUAUUUGGAAAACUCAAAAGAAAAUGAUGAGCAUAAUAACAUAGAAGAGUUUGAUGAAGAAUUAUUUGAACAUGAAUAUCCGAUUUUAGAAGAAAGAACCCAUAUAAAAAUAUUACAAUUAGAUAAAUUAAAGAGUUUAGAAGAAUUAUUACAAUUACCAGAACAAACUAGGAUCAUAGGAGAAGACCCACAUUUACAUUGGAGUAAAAAUAAAAUAAUAGCAAAAUUAGAUAAAAGAGCUUAUUGACCUCAUAGAUAGUAAGCCUAAGCAAGUAGAACUCAGAUCAUUAGAAAUAGUUGAGCAAUUAAGAUUAGAAGUUCAAAAAAAUUCAAUUAUUGCAAAAUGAGUUGAGUGAACAAGUAGAUAAGUUGCAUAAUAAAAUAGAUAAAUUAUUAGUUUAAUGACCGAUUCUAGAACUAGCAGAAAAUAUAUCCAAACUUUGAAAGAAAUUAGUAAGCUAGAUAAAGAACCAGUAGGUUUAACAGAUUUUUCAACACAAGUAGCUAGUAGUAAUAUUCCCAUUAGGCAAACUAAUUUAAUUAUUCAAUUACUUUUAAGUUUGGCUAAAAAAUUAGAUCAAGUUGAAGAACAAAUACCAUAAAUAAAUCAAGUUUUACAUAACACAUCUCCAUCACUUCCACCAUUUUUGUUAGAAAAAUUAGAAAAUUUAACUUUAAGUACAAAUAAUCAUAUUAGAAGACCUAAGAUAAAUCAUUUUGAUAACAGAAAAUGGAACUCUUUAAGAGAGAAAAGAAGUAGUUAGAGCUGAAGAAAUUUAUCCAAAUGAAGAAGAAGCACAAGAAUUUAAUAGAAGAUGAUUUGAGAAAACACAGAAAAAUAAAUAUAAUUUGUACCAAUUAGGUUUAUUUGAAAACAGAAGUAGGAUUGUAAGUAGCAUCAGUCAAGAUGAAGUUAGAUGUAUUGAUAAAGAAGUUAUACUUAAUUUACUUAGUAAGGAAGCAAUUAUGCAUUUGAGAAAAUCAAUCAUGUCACAGCCCGUCCCGGGAUUUUCUUAUUAAGGACGUGAAAUGACGGAUUUACCCUUAGUGGGUAUUAAGGUAUGUGUGUGACAUUAUUUGGUUUAACCUUAGAUAUGUUUUGGAAGAAAAUAAAUAAGAUGAGUUGGAUUAUUAAAUUUGGUUUUUGUUAAUUUUGGUUAGGGAUUUAGAUGAUGGAUGGUGUGGAUUGAAAGGGACCAUCUAAACCCUUACCCUCUCUCUAUCCCGUAGCUCUCUCUCUCUCCUCCAUCUCGACACUCUCUCUCUCACACCCAUAUUGUACGGCCACACCCAAAACCCCCCAAAACUCAGUGGAUCGAAGUAAACAAGGUAAGAAUCUUCAUCCUCGUGAUGGUUUGAGUUGAUUGGUGCUAGUUUUAGGAUGUGGAACCUUCGAUUUCACGUGAACCCGAACCCCCCAUUUUUGGUCACUGUUCAUGCACACGUGAAAUGUUGUGUUUCAGGGAAUUCUAAGCUUAUAGUGAGCUUAGUGAGGUCCCAAGGAAACUCGGAGUGCUUCGUUUGAAGGAUUUGGACGUCGGGAUCACGAGGGUUGAGUUUGGCCGGUUUUGCUUGGAUUUUUCCGGUGAGAUUUAGUUGUUUUUGGAGCUUAAAAAUAGUGUAUCGUGACUCUACAUGUUUGGGGCUUCAUUUUGGUAUAAAAUACGAAGAAAAUGGUUGAGAAACAAAGGAGAAUAAGGCGUUUAAAGUUUGGCCGGAAACCGGCCGUCGGAAAAAACCAGUCCGGCGAACCAAGGUUGGGGAUGAUGCGUGUGGGGGCGCGUGUCCCCGUGCCUGUCCUGGCCCGUGGGGGCGCAUGCGGCCUCCAAAAAUUUAUUUAAAAAUUUCUCGACGUCCGUGACGUCGAAUAGGUCGAUGUGGUAUAUUCAUAUACCCAAAUUGAGCAUCGUAUGAGAAGUUAUUUCGAAUUGUUGGUUAUGUUUUAAAUUAAUGUUUUUAUAGUUGUUUCGCAUAUAGGUGACACUUAUCCCGAGGACGAGCGCAUCCAGGGACGUCACGGGGGUUACGACCCAUCGACUUAUCAAUGAGUGGGCAGUUUUGUUUUCGUAUUACCUAUAUACAACUGUUUUUCCCAGAAAAUGCGUUUAUAUGAAAAUUAUGAUUUAAAUUGCCAUGCAUGCAAAUGUUGAGAUAUUUAGUUUGAUAAUGGAUGCAUAUAUAUGUUAAUUGACGCGGUGGACGCACAUGUGAGUUUUUAUAUUAUUCAGAUGAGUUAUUUUAUGAGAAUUGCAUUGAAAGCUCAUAACCUGCACCCUAGGUGUUAGUGCUUAUAUUAUUAUUUCACCACACCGCACGCUCGUCUUGGAUCCAAGUAGGUGGAUGUCGUACAGACCAUGUGAGGGUUCCGACAUGCUAGUCGUAUAGAUCACUAGAUGUGAUUCCGACUAGUGGGUGACCUUAGUUAUGCGCGCUGAUGAUUGAUGAGAGAAGCACUAGAGAGCGUAUUUAUACACCUUUCAUCGUACAGACUACUAUACGUAGUUCCGAGUGAUGUGCAGUGUAGUGCCGUACAGAUCACAGUUGGUGACUCCGGCAGGGCCGUAUAGGUUACUAUGGUGACUCCGGUUGAGUGGGAUGUUGAGCUUUAGAAUCAGCCGUACAUGACCAUUGUAGGGUCUCCGGUUGAUUUAUUAUUUCACCUGAUUGAUAUUGGUGCAUUUCUGAUUAUAUUUGGCAUGGCGUGGCAUAUUAUUUCUGAGAUGUUAUGUUGUUGGAUAUGAGCUGAGUUUUGAUGAUAUGUGUAUAUUACUAUUUUUCUGGGAAAGUAUACAGGUUUUACGGUGAGGGGUUAGAAAUGUUUUAAAUGAAAUGUUUUGGAAAAUCUUUGAUUUUACUGACCCACUCAUCUUUGUUUUGCGCCCCUCCAGGUUCUAGUUAGCGGUUGGUGGCUCUCGAGGUCUUUUUACGGCAUUUUGAUAGACGUUCUGCAUGUAGGACUCACCUGCGGGUGAUGUAUUUUAUUUUGGUCCUACUUGACUGCACUUAGACCUAUGCUCUGAAUUUAUGUGUUUACCUUAUAACUCAUCCUUUUAUUCUAGUAGGUACUAGAGAUUGGUUUGAAUUCCUUCAUAUUCUGUUAUAUCUUGCUUCCGUGUCGCACUUUUGGUUACGUCACGCUCACGUGACAGCCAGCACGCCUUGAUCCUCUGGGUCGGGGUGUGUGUCAGUUUGGUAUAAGAGCCUAGGUUGCAGUCUUGUAUAAUUGUUAAUGCUUUAAUGAUUUUUUGAUGUUUUCUGUCAGAAUUAUGCCGCCUCGUAGAGAGCGUAGGGAGUCCCGCCGUACUUCUGACCCUAAUUUCCCUGAUAUCAUUCAGUUGGGGGAAGCAAUGGCUCAGGCUUUUCAGAAUGUAAUUCGUCCUCCUCCCCUACCUCAGAGGACACCCUUGGAGACCAUGUACAAUUUGAAACUGGAUCGUUUUAUGGGUAAUGAAGGUCACGAGGGGGCAGAGAAAUGGCUAGAUCAUAUUGAAAAGACAUUUCAGGUGAUGCAAAGUCAGGGGAACUUUCCGGCUGAUAGAUGGGUUGAGACCACUACCUGGUUUUUGGGUCGAGAGCCGGCAGGUUGGUGGAGGAAUCAGACGCAGUUUAUGUCCCCAGCUAUGGCAUCUGAUUAGGAAGUAUUUAAAGAUAAUUUCAAGAAAAGAUUUGUCCCCUCAGAGUAUAUUGAUCGCAAGAAACAAGAAUUUACUCGAUUGAAACAGAAGAAUAUGACAGCUCAUGAGUACUACAGAAAGUUUACUGAUUUGUGUCGUUAUGACCCUGAUACAGCUGGUAAUCAGGGAGAGAUGCUUCGACGUUUCAAGUUGGGAUCUAAGAAAAAGUGGCGGACUUUUGCCAGUGCACUUCCCUGUGCCGAUUAUCAUGAGUUUUUCGAGAUUUUGGUUAGGAUGGAGGACUCUGAUAAUCUUCCCAGUGAGAGUGAGGAUGACGAGGACAAGAAUGAUGGUCAGAAGAAGGAUGAUAAAGGUAAGGGUAUCUCUAUUCCGAGACCUUUCAAGACGCAGAAUUUUAAGAAGAGUGGGGCGAGUUUGAGUUUUUCUAGUGGUGGAUAUAGUAUUACUGGCCCGAGGAGAGGUGGUGGUAGAUUUUCUGGUGAGCCUAGAUUUCAGAGGCAGAGGGAUUCUGGUGGUGUUGGUGGUUCUGGCGCUCCGUGGUGCCACCGUUGUAAUUUUCGUCACCAUGGUGAGUGUAGGAGAGGUAGUGGUGCUUGUUUUACUUGUGGGCAAAUGGGACAUCGGGCUUCUCAGUGUCCCUAGGGUCAGCACAGACCGCAGCAGACCACUAUGCCACCUCCAGCGCCGAUUCAGCAAAGCUUUGGACCGGGCAGUUAUGGCCAGUCGGGUCGUGGUGGUGCCUACCACUACCAGGGGGAUGCUGCUCCAUAUGCUUCCGGACCUUAUCAGUAUCCCCAGGAGCCUUAUCCUCAGGCAGGGUAUUCUCAGGACUUUGGGGGUUAUUCUUCUUAUUCAUCUAUGCCAGCUGGUGGAUAUUAGUGGCAUUAGGGAGGUCAGCCCCGUAAGGGGGAAGUUGCCACUGGUGGUGCCAGAUCAUCUAGACAGCCUAGUCAGUCAGGCCAGGGACGUGCUCCCCAUGGGCGAGGUAAUCAAGGCAAUAGAGGUCGUGGUGGACGACAGCAAGCUCAGGGGCGUGUUAAUCACAUCUCACUGCAAGAGGCUCAGAACCAUCCGGACUUGAUCAUGGGUACGUUAAAUGUUCUUGGUCAUUUUUCUAAGGUUUUGAUUGAUUGUGGUGCUACGCAUUCUGUGAUUUCUCAUAUUUCUCAUACGUUUGCUCAAAUGACUCAACCUCACCCUUUCACCUCUAGGAUUUGAUUUAGAGUUUGCCAUGCCUAUAGGAGAUAAAUGUUAUGUUGAUAGUGUGUAUCUUGGGUGUCCAGUGAUGGUAGAGGGCAUAGUUAUGCCAGCUGAUCUUAUUCCGUUAGAUAUUGUGGAUUUUGAUGUGAUUCUAGGGGCUGAUUGGUUGCAUUAUAAUCGUGCCCAUAUGGAUUGUUAUGGUAAAUCAGUUACUUUUUAUCGUCCUGGACUACUCGAAGUUACUUUUGUGGGCGAAAGAAGUGGGGUGAGACAUGGUGUUAUUUCUUCCAUAAGAGCAAGGAAAUUAUUAUCGAAGGGUUGUCAGGGAUAUUUAGCACAUGUGGUGUUAAAUGAUGUUGUUUCUCCUAGUAUAUAAGAAGUUGGUGUGGUCAGACAUUAUCCGGAUGUAUUUCCUGAUGAUUUGUCGGGGCUGCCGCCAGACAGAGAGGUGGAAUUCUCUAUUGAUUUGCUUCCAGGUACUGACCCUAUAUCUCUAACUCUUUAUAGAAUGGCCCCUGCUGAGUUGAGAGAAUUGAAAAUUCAGUUGCAAGAAUUACUUGAUAAAGGUUUCAUUCAACCUAGUUCGUCACCUUAGGGAGCUCCAGUAUUAUUUGUGAGGAAGAAAGAUGGAACUCUGAGAUUAUGCAUUGACUAUAGGCAAUUGAAUCGGGUAACGAUUAAAAACCGUUAUCCAUUGCCUCGCAUCGACGAUUUGUUUGAUCAGCUGAAAGGUGCGUGUGUAUUUUCUAAGAUUGAUUUGAGAUCCGGUUAUUACCAGUUGAAGAUUAAAGAGGAAGAUGUACCUAAGACAGCUUUCCGAACCCGUUACGGACAUUAUGAAUUUCUGGUUAUGCCAUUUGGGUUGACUAAUGCACCUGCAGCUUUCAUGAGGUUAAUGAAUGAGGUAUUCCAGCAAUAUCUUGAUAAAUUUGUUAUUGUUUUUAUUGAUGAUAUUCUGGUAUACUCUAACUCUAAAGCAGAUCAUAUCCGACAUCUUAACUUGGUAUUAAAGAAAUUGAGGGAGCAUCAGUUUGUAUGCUAAGUUCAGUAAAUGUCAGUUUUGGUUGACUGAAGUGGCAUUUUUGGGGCAUGUUGUAUCGACUCAAGGAAUCCAAGUUGAUCCUCAAAAGAUAGCAGCGGUGGAGAAUUGGGAGCAACCUCGAACCGUCACUGAGGUACGAAGUUUUCUUGGUUUAGCAGGUUAUUAUCGACGGUUUGUUCAGGAUUUUUCUAUGAUUGCCUUGCCGUUAAUGAAGUUGACCAGGAAGGAUGUUAAAUUCGAGUGGGAUGAAAAUUGUGAGCGGAGCUUCUAGCAAUUGAAAUAUUGCCCCACUCAUGCUCCAGUAUUGGUACUUCCUCACAAUAGUGGUAAUUUUGAGAUUUAUAGUGAUGCUUCCUUGAAUGGUUUGGGAUGUGUUUUGAUGCAGCAUAAUAGAGUAAUUGCUUAUGCUUCUCGACAGUUGAAAAAUCAUGAAAGGAAUUAUCCUACUCACGAUCUUGAAUUGGCAGCCAUUGUUUUCGCUUUGAAGAUUUGGAGGCAUUAUUUAUAUGGUGAGAAGUGUAAGAUCUUCACUGAUCACAAGAGUCUUCAGUAUCUGUUUACUCAGCAUGAUCUUAAUCUUCGUCAGCGAAGGUGGAUGGAAUUGUUAAGUGAUUAUGACUAUACUAUCGAGUAUCAUCCGGGUCGUGCUAAUGUGGUAGCUGAUGCACUGAGUAGGAAACCUCAAGGUAGACUUAAUGCCUUAUAAGCUAGCCGUGUUCCUCUUCUUGCUGAACUGAGGGCAACUGGAGUAAAGUUAGAGUUGGAAGAUCGAAGUGGAGCCUUUCUUGCUAGUUUUCAAGUCAGGCCAGUUUUGGUUGAUCAUAUACUCGAAGCUCAGAUGGUGGUUGAGGAAAUUCAAGAAAUGGUUCAGUUAAGAAGUGAAGGGAAAAAGAAAGACCUCAGGAUUCGGGAAUCAGAUGGUAUGCUUAUGCAGGAAAAUAGAAUGUAUGUUCCGAAUAAUGAGGAAUUAAAGAAGGAAAUAUUGGAUGAAUCGCAUUGUUCAGCUUAUGCGAUGCACCCGAGAGGCACUAAGAUAUAUCAUACCAUUCGACCAUUUUAUUAUUGGCCGGGUAUGAAAAAGGAAAUUGCUGAGUAUGUGAGUAGAUGUAUUAUUUGCCAGCAAGUUAAAGCAGAAAGAAAGAAGCCUUUUGGGCGAAUGCAGCCACUUCCUGUUCCCCAGUGGAAAUGGGAAAAUAUAACCAUGGACUUCGUGUAUAAACUUCCUCGUACAUGAAACGGAUUUGAUGGUAUUUGGGUGAUUGUGGAUCGACUUACCAAGUCAGCGCAUUUCAUUCCAGUGAGGGAGAAGUAUCCUCUGAAUAAAUUGGCUAAGUUGUUCAUUACGAAGAUUGUGAAGUAUCAUGGAGUUCCAGUGAAUAUUAUUUCUGAUCGAGACCCAAGAUUUACUUCUAAAUUUUGGGUAGCUUUUCAGGAAGCUCUUGGUACGCAAUUGCUUUAUAGCACUGCUUAUCAUCCUCAAACUGAUGGGCAAUCAGAGAGGACUAUUCAGACGUUGGAGGAUAUGUUGAGAUCUUCAGUAUUACAAUUCGGUGAUUCCUGGCAUGAUCGGCUGGACUUGAUGGAAUUUGCCUACAAUAAUAGUUUUCACUCGAGCAUUGGUAUGUCACCAUUUGAGGCACUUUAUGGUAGGGCGUGUCGUACGCCAUUGUGUUGGUCUGAGGUUGGUGAAAGAGUGUUAGAAGGCCCAGAGAUUGUGGAUGAGACUACUCAAAAUAUCCAGGUGAUUAAGUCUAACCUGAAAGCAGCCUGGGAUCGACAGAAGAGUUUAGCAGAUCGACAUGCCACUGAUCGAGUGUAUAAUGUGGGCGAUUGGGUAUUUUUGAAAUUGUAACCUUGGAGAGGUGUGGUACGAUUUGGAAAAAGAGGGAAGCUAAGUCCGAGAUACAUUGGACCUUAUGUGAUCACUGAAAGAGUUGGUGAAGUUGCCUACCGAUUGGAGUUGCCUCCGGAGUUAUCUAAGGUCCAUAAUGUGUUCCACGUCUCUAUGCUUCGACAUUAUAUUUCUGAUCCUUCUCAUGUGAUCCCUCCUCAACCGCUAGAGAUUAAUCCGGAUUUGACACAUAUGAUGAAGAACCAGUCACAAUCUUGGAUUGGAAAGAUAAGGUUUUAAGAAAUAAGAUGGUGAGUUUGGUAAAGGUGUUAUGGAGGAACCAUUCCGUAGAAGAAGCUACCUGGGAGACAGAAGAUCGUAUGAGAGAGAUGUACCCAAGAUUAUUCUAUGGGUAUUAAGUGGUUUAAUUGGUUAUGGGAAUUUCGGGGACGAAAUUCUAUAAGGAGGGGAGAUUGUCAUAGCUCGUCCCGGGAUUUUCUUAUUAAGGACAUGAAAUGACGGAUUUACCCUUAGCGGGUAUUAAGGUAUGUGUGUGACAUUAUUUGGUUUAACCUUAGAUAUGUUUUGGAAGAAAAUAAAUAAGAUGAGUUGGAUUAUUAAAUUUGGUUUUUGUUAAUUUUGGUUAGGGAUUUAGAUGAUGGAUGGUGUGGAUUGAAAUGGACCAUCUAAACCCUUACCCUUUCUCUAUCCCGUAGCUCUCUCUCUCUCCUCCAUCUCGACACUCUCUCUCUCACACCCAUAUUGUAUGGCCACACCCAAAACUCAGUGGAUCGAAGUAAACAAGGUAAGAAUCUUCAUCCUCGUGAUGUUUUGAGUUGAUUGGUGCUAGUUUUAGGACGUGGAACCUUCGAUUUCACGUGAACCCGAACCCCCCAUUUUUUGUCACUGUUCAUGCACACGUGAAAUGUUGUGUUUCAAGGAAUUAUAAGCUUAUAAUGAGCUUAGUGAGGUCCCAAGGAAGCUCGGAGUGCUUCGUUUGAAGGAUUUGGACGUCGGGAUCACGAGGGUUGAGUUUGGCUGGUUUUGCUUGGAUUUUUCCGGUGAGAUUUAGUUGUUUUUGGAGCUUAAAAUUAGUGUAUCGUGACUCUACAUGUUUGGGGCUUCAUUUUGGUAUAAAAUACGAAGAAAAUGGUUGAGAAACGAAGGAGAACAAGGCGUUUAAAGUUUGGCCGGAAACCGGCCGCUGGAAAAACCAGUCCGGCGAACCAAGGUUGGGGAUGAUGCGCGUGGGGGCGCGUGUCCCAGUGCCUGUCCUGGCGCGUGGGGGCGCAUGCGGCCUCCAAAAAUUUAUUUAAAAAUUUCUCGACGUCCGUGACGUCGAGUAGGUCGAUGUGGUAUAUUCAUAUACCCAAAUUGAGCAUCGUAUGAAAAGUUAUUUCGAAUUGUUGGUUAUGUGUGUUUAAAUUAACGUUUUUAUAGUUGUUUCGCAUAUAGGUGACACUUAUCCCGAGGACGAGCGCAUCCAGGGACGUCAUGGGGGUUACGACCCAUCGACUUAUCAGUGAGUGGGCAGUUUUGUUUUCGUAUUACCUAUAUACAACUAUUUUUCCCAGAAAAUGCGUUUAUAUGAAAAUUAUGAUUUAAAUUGCCAUGCAUGAAAAUGUUGAGAUAUUUAGUUUGAUAAUGGAUGCAUAUAUAUGUUAAUUGACGCGGUGGACGCACAUGUGAGUUUUUAUAUUAUUCAGAUGAGUUAUUUUAUGAGAAUUGCAUUGAAAGCUCAUAACCUGCACCCUAGGUGUUAGUGCUUAUAUUAUUAUUCACCACACCGCACGCUCGUCUUGGAUCCAAGUAGGUGGAUGUCGUACAGACCAUGUGAGGGUUCCGACAUGCUAGUCGUAUAGAUCACUAGAUGUGAUUCCGACUAGUGGGUGACCUUAGUUAUGCGCGCUGAUGAUUGAUGAGAGAAGCACUAGAGCGUAUUUAUACACCUUUCAUCGUACAGACUACUAUACGUAGUUCCGAGUGAUGUGCAGUGUAGUGCCGUACAGGUCACAGUUGGUGACUCCGGCAGGGCCGUAUAGGUCACUGUGGUGACUCCGGUUGAGUAGGAUGUUGAGCUUUAGAAUCAGCCGUACAUGACCAUUGUAGGGUCUCCGGUUGAUUUAUUAUUUCACCUGAUUGAUAUUGGUGCAUUUCUGAUUAUAUUUGGCAUGGCGUGGCAUAUAAUUUCUGAGAUGUUAUAUUGUUGGAUAUGAGCUGAGUUUUGAUGAUAUGUGUAUAUAUAUGUUUAUAUACUAUUUUUCUGGGAAAGUAUACAGGUUUUACGGUGAGGGGUUAGAAAUGUUUUAAAUGAAAUGUUUUGGAAAAUCUUUGAUUUUACUAACCCACUCAUCUUUGUUUUGCGCCCCUCCAGGUUCUAGUUAGCGGUUGGUGGCUCUCGAGGUCUUUUUUCGGCAUUCUGACAGACGUUCUGCAUGUAGGACUCACCUGCGGGUGAUGUAUUUAUUUUGGUCCUAUUUGACUGCACUUAAACCUUUGCUCUGAAUUUAUGUGUUUACCUUAUAACUCAUCCUUUUAUUCUAAUAGGUGGUUCUACUAGAGAUUGGUUUGAAUUCCUUCAUAUUCUGUUAUAUCUUGCUUCCGUGUCGCACUUUUGGUUACGUCACGCUCACGUGACGACCAGCACGCCUUGAUCCUCUGGGUCGGGGUGUGUCAAAUCAGGUACAAUACAAUUACAAGAUUAUAUAGCUAAAAAUGUCUUAGAAUUUCCAGAUAAGUUAGAAGACAAAAAACAGUUAUAAGCAUUUUUAGGAUUGUUGAAUUAUGCAAGAAAUUUUAUCCCUGAUUUAGAAAGAAAAAUAGGAGUAUUACAUAGUAAAACUUGCAAAAUAGGACAAAAAUAUUUUAAUAGUGAAGAUAUUAAAUUAGUUCAAAAUAUAAAAGAAGAAAUUACUAAACUUAAGCCAUUAACAUUACCAUUAGAUGAUAGUUCUAAAGUAGUCGAAACAGAUGCUUCAUCAUUAGGAUGAGCAUGUAUACUAUACCAGAAAAAGAAUAAGGAGUCACCAAAGUCUAACGAACAAGUUUGUAGAUAUUCAUCAGGAAAAUUUAGUGAUGUACAACCAAGAUUACCAUUAACAGAUUUAGAAAUUUUCGAAAUAAUUAACUCACUUGAAGCAUUCUCUUUAUUUUUACAUAAUGAAGUAUUUACGAUUAGAACAGAUUGUCAAAAUAUAGUUUCUCAUUAUAACAUACCAGAUUCGCAUGACAAGCUCGGUUAAAUAGUCGGAUGACCAUUAUAACAACUAGACAUAAAACCUUGCACAUGGAACUCGACAUGUUUUAGCAUGACGGCCACUCACAGUACAAAUAUAAACUCUUAAUGUCUGAACUCAGAGGUACCCUAGUUAAUAUCCAUUUAUUUGUAUGGCAAGCAUUCAACUAUAACAGAAUGCUCGAACAAAGUAUGAUUGUCACGCCCGAUCCCGACAUACAUCCAGGAUCGACACGUGACAGAAGAUUGUAGGGGGAUGCCAGGAAAUACAAACUGGAAUACUGAACUGAAUAUAUAUUUAAGGAAAGGUAUAUGGAUUAGUAACCAAAUGUAGUGAUAGGAUGAUCACAUUUAAGUGUUCUCUUCACUUUGUUCUAAAUUUAAAUUCUAAAAGGAGCUACCUAACUUAGGUAGUUUUACCGGACAUCCUUCACAAAAACACAAGAUUUUAUUAUAUUUUAAUUGUAUACAAAUCGACUCCAUGCCAUUUUAUUUAGGGAACUUUAACGAAAAGCAUCUGGUACUAUUCACUUUAACGAAAAACCAUAUUUUUACACUAAAAAGUCAAUCCUGGUACUAUUCACUUUACCUUUUAUUUUGUCCUUAUCAUUAAAACUCAAAGUUUUCAAGCCCUUUUCAUUAGUUUUUCUUUUUAUUUAAUGUGAGAGGUGUUGUAAUUAGACAGUCCUAUGCUCCACCCUAGUUUUUAGACUCUUCCAAACUUGUUAGUGGCCAUACAUUACCGACUCACUAGUGACCAGCAGAAUGAUUAGUUCACAAUAUUAAAAUUCUGAUAAAGUCGUCAUCCUUAAUUCUCCUCUCUAACCGUCCGACCAACACCAAAACCCAGAUCAUGCGAGAUACUCAAAAUCCAACUGAGAAAUCAAGUCCAUGACACUUAUCAUGCACCACCAAAAGUCGCGCAUGAUCAGCAUAUAUCGUAUCCUUUAUAUGUAGAUAUUAUGUAGAUAUUAUUUCGUCACUGCUGCCGACUCCACCGCCACCUCACAGUCGUCUAUAAAACGGCCACCCACUUUGUACGGACACAUUCUGCGCCAAAUUCUGAUUGCCAAAAAAAAAAAAAAAAAAUCUCUGCAGAGAACCAAAAAUGGCGUACAAGUACGAUUUCUCAUUUUCGUGGUCUUUCUUUUUUCUGGGUCCAUCUGAAUUUCUGAUUUUUUUUAUUGCUGUAAAAUUAAUCCAAGAUUGUUUUGUUUCUUGGUGUUGCAGGCAUGAGGAACUUCCUCCACCGUUGGAUUCCACUUCCUCCCCUCCUCCUCUCUUUGACGGCACUACAAGGUUUACCUCUUUCCUCCACUUUUUUGGUCUGAAAUGGUUGAUUACAAAUCCCAUUGCUCAACUUAUACGUUCAAAUACUCACGAUAUAUACUGAAAAAUGAUUAUUUCAGCAUUUGAAAUUUGUAAUGUGAUCAUUUCAGCCAAUUUUCCCAAGAUAAAACACAUUUUUGAGGCUGUUUUCGCCUUCUGUCUCGUCCGAAUUUCAAUUUUGGCCACCUUGUUUUUUAUUUAUCUCAUUUUGCUCGCUGUUUUUGUUCACUGAGUUUCGUUUUGUUCAGUGAUUACCAUGUUUUGAUGUGUAUUGGUUGCUUUGUGUUGAAGGCUGUACGUAAAUUACACAAGUCCAUUUGCACAGCGGGUUUGGAUCACUAGGAACUAUAAGGUCUGUUCUCUAUUUUCACCAUAUUUUUCUUUUUUGGAGCUUCUGGCAAAGGCCCUGAUUUCAUUCAAUUUGUUGUUUGAGGAAUUGGCUAAUAUGAUGAAAUACAAAUCCCUAUAGCGGAAAUGAUUAUUUUUCACUAUAUUUGAUGGAUAUGUCGUGGUUAUUUGAUUUAAAUCAUUUCAUGAAUUGGUAAAUUGAGAAUUAAUCAGAAUCCAUGUCUUAUUGUUUGUUUUUGUUGAAAUUUUUUGAGUUGCAGGGUUUGCAAGACAAGAUUAAGUUAGUGGGUAUAGAUCUUGAAAACAGGCCCUGCUUGGUACAAGGAAAAAGUCUACCCCGGAAACAAGGUAAAAUUUUGAGCAAAAAUUAGUGUUCUCUGCUUCUUUGCUGCCAUUGAUUAUCUGUGGAAAAUUUGGUGAAGCUGGAUAAAUCUCUUGAUUGAUUAUUUUUAUAGGUGCCAUCUCUGGAGCACAAUGGAAAAGUCAUUGGAGAAAGUCUUGAUCUGAUCAAAUACCUCGAAAGCAACUUCGAAGGGCCUUCACUUGUCCCCAAUGUAAGAUAUCCAGAAUUUGAUUGUGCGUCAAGUAACAUGACUUUGUCUUCUCAGAAAUUUGACCAGAGUGAUGCUGCGAAAUUGUUUUUAGGACGACCCUGAGAGAAAAAAGUUUGGCCAAGAAUUAUUAAAUUAUGUUGAUACCUUUGUGGGGUCCUUGUAUCGCUCAUUGAAAGGAGACACGGUAAAAGCAGCUGGUAAGACUUGGAAGAUUCUCCCGUUAGUGACUGUUUUUGUUCAUGAAUUUACGCUGAACGAAUUUGGUUAACUGCAUCAGAUGAGCAGUUUGAUUACUUGGAAAAUGCUCUUAAGAAAUUUGACGAUGGGCCAUAUCUUCUGGGUCAGUUCAGUUUGGUAAGUUGAAUGUACAAUGUAUCUACAUGCCAAUUAAUGUUUUCGCAUUUCUAAUAAAAUGAGCUAGUAGUAACACAUAAGUGCUUAAGUAAUGGAUACAAAUUUGUGAUAUCCAGGUGGACAUAGCCUAUAUCCCGUUCGUUGAGCAGUUCCAAGUCUUCUUAUCAGACGUGUUCAAGUAUGACAUCACAGCUGGGAGGCCUAAACUAGCAGCAUUCUUGGAGGUACAUUAACAAGUCAUAGAAUUGUAUAAUGAAUGUCAUGGAUUCCAUUGUCUGAGCUUUAUCCCAUGUACGGAUGACUGUCUCUCAUCUGUUUAAAAACAAACUUAAACGUUUCAU